CCCAGUGGCGGCUGCUAUACAUGCAGUCGAGCGCGGGAAGCGAGUGGAUCCCUUCGGGGUGAAGCUCGUGGAACGAGCGGCGGACGGGUGAGUAACACGUGGGCAACCUACCUGUAAGAUCGGAAUAACCCCGGGAAACCGGGGCUAAUGCCGGGUAAUACUUUUCUUCGCAUGAAGGAAAGUUGAAAGAUGGCUUCUUGCUAUCACUUACAGAUGGGCCCGCGGCGCAUUAGCUAGUUGGUGAGGUAACGGCUCACCAAGGCGACGAUGCGUAGCCGACCUGAGAGGGUGAUCGGCCACACUGGGACUGAGACACGGCCCAGACUCCUACGGGAGGCAGCAGUAGGGAAUCUUCCGCAAUGGACGAAAGUCUGACGGAGCAACGCCGCGUGAACGAUGAAGGUCUUCGGAUCGUAAAGUUCUGUUGUUAGGGAAGAACAAGUACCGUGCGAAUAGAGCGGUACCUUGACGGUACCUAACGAGGAAGCCCCGGCUAACUACGUGCCAGCAGCCGCGGUAAUACGUAGGGGGCAAGCGUUGUCCGGAAUUAUUGGGCGUAAAGCGCGCGCAGGCGGUUCCUUAAGUCUGAUGUGAAAGCCCACGGCUCAACCGUGGAGGGUCAUUGGAAACUGGGGAACUUGAGGACAGAAGAGGAGAGUGGAAUUCCACGUGUAGCGGUGAAAUGCGUAGAUAUGUGGAGGAACACCAGUGGCGAAGGCGACUCUCUGGUCUGUUUCUGACGCUGAGGUGCGAAAGCGUGGGUAGCAAACAGGAUUAGAUACCCUGGUAGUCCACGCCGUAAACGAUGAGUGCUAGGUGUUAGGGGGGCUUCCACCCCUUAGUGCUGAAGUUAACGCAUUAAGCACUCCGCCUGGGGAGUACGGCCGCAAGGCUGAAACUCAAAGGAAUUGACGGGGGCCCGCACAAGCGGUGGAGCAUGUGGUUUAAUUCGAAGCAACGCGAAGAACCUUACCAGGUCUUGACAUCCUUGGACCACCCUAGAGAUAGGGUUUUCCCUUCGGGACCAAGUGACAGGGCUGCAUGAUUGUCGUCAGCUCGUGUCGUGAGAUGUUGGGUUAAGUCCCGCACGAGCGCAGCCCCUAAUCUACUUGCCAGGCAUCAGUUGGCCACUCUAGGUGACUGCAGUGACAAACCGGAGAAUGGCGGGAAUGACGUUCCAUC
RNAcentral lists this ribosomal RNA (1182 nucleotides) under Halobacillus sp. RNAcentral describes it as "bacterial SSU rRNA". It matches the Rfam family "Bacterial small subunit ribosomal RNA", at positions 35 to 1191 of the family's 1533-position model. The record is from RNAcentral. Lineage: Bacteria; Bacillati; Bacillota; Bacilli; Caryophanales; Bacillaceae.